This 527-nucleotide ribosomal RNA is filed under the name uncultured bacterium. RNAcentral describes it as "bacterial SSU rRNA". It matches the Rfam family "Bacterial small subunit ribosomal RNA", at positions 777 to 1304 of the family's 1533-position model. The record is from RNAcentral.
AAUAGAUACCCGGGUAGUCCAUGCCGUAAACGUUGGGCACUAGGUGUGGGGUCCAUUCCACGGAUUCCGUGCCGCAGCUAACGCAUUAAGUGCCCCGCCUGGGGAGUACGGCCGCAAGGCUAAAACUCAGAGAAAUUGACGGGGGCCCGCACAAGCGGCGGAGCAUGCGGAUUAAUUCGAUGCAACGCGAAGAACCUUACCAAGGCUUGACAUACACCGGAAAAGUGCAGAGAUGUGCUCCCCGCAAGGUCGGUGUACAGGUGGUGCAUGGUUGUCGUCAGCUCGUGUCGUGAGAUGUUGGGUUAAGUCCCGCAACGAGCGCAACCCUCGUCCCAUGUUGCCAGCGGGUUAUGCCGGGGACUCAUGGGAGACUGCCGGGGUCAACUCGGAGGAAGGUGGGGAUGACGUCAAAUCAUCAUGCCCCUUAUGUCUUGGGCUUCACGCAUGCUACAAUGGCCGGUACAAAGGGCUGCGAUACCGUAAGGUGGAGCGAAUCCCAAAAAGCCGGUCUCAGUUCGGAUUGGGGU